RNAcentral lists this ribosomal RNA (253 nucleotides) under uncultured bacterium. RNAcentral describes it as "partial 16S ribosomal RNA". It matches the Rfam family "Bacterial small subunit ribosomal RNA", at positions 524 to 776 of the family's 1533-position model. The record is from RNAcentral.
UACGGAGGGUGCAAGCGUUGUCCGGAAUCACUGGGCGUAAAGGGCGCGUAGGCGGCUCAUGAAGGCCGUGGUGAAAGUCCGGGGCUCAACCUCGGAUCGGCCGUGGCGACUCGUGGGCUGGAGCACUGUAGAGGCGGGUGGAAUUCCGGGUGUAGCGGUGGAAUGCGUAGAGAUCCGGAAGAACACCAGUGGCGAAGGCGGCCCGCUGGGCAGUGGCUGACGCUGAGGCGCGACAGCGUGGGGAGCAAACAGG